This 441-nucleotide ribosomal RNA is filed under the name uncultured bacterium. RNAcentral describes it as "partial 16S ribosomal RNA". It matches the Rfam family "Bacterial small subunit ribosomal RNA", at positions 338 to 795 of the family's 1533-position model. The record is from RNAcentral.
CCUACGGGUGGCAGCAGUGGGGAAUAUUGCACAAUGGGGGAAACCCUGAUGCAGCGACGCCGCGUGAGUGAAGAAGUAUUUCGGUAUGUAAAGCUCUAUCAGCAGGGAAGAAAAAAGACGGUACCUGACUAAGAAGCCCCGGCUAACUACGUGCCAGCAGCCGCGGUAAUACGUAGGGGGCAAGCGUUAUCCGGAUUUACUGGGUGUAAAGGGAGCGUAGACGGUGCGUCAAGUCUGAAGUGAAAGCCCGGGGCUUAACCCCGGGACUGCUUUGGAAACUGGCGCGCGAGAGUGCUGGAGAGGUAAGUGGAAUUCCUAGUGUAGCGGUGAAAUGCGUAGAUAUUAGGAGGAACACCAGUGGCGAAGGCGGCUUACUGGACAGUAACUGACGUUGAGGCUCGAAAGCGUGGGGAGCAAACAGGAUUAGAUACCCGUGUAGUC